ACGAACGCUGGCGGCGUGCUUAACACAUGCAAGUCGAACGGAAAGGCCCUGCUUUUGUGGGGUGCUCGAGUGGCGAACGGGUGAGUAACACGUGAGUAACCUGCCCUUGACUUUGGGAUAACUUCAGGAAACUGGGGCUAAUACCGGAUAGGAGCUCCUGCUGCAUGGUGGGGGUUGGAAAGUUUCGGCGGUUGGGGAUGGACUCGCGGCUUAUCAGCUUGUUGGUGGGGUAGUGGCUUACCAAGGCUUUGACGGGUAGCCGGCCUGAGAGGGUGACCGGCCACAUUGGGACUGAGAUACGGCCCAGACUCCUACGGGAGGCAGCAGUGGGGAAUAUUGCACAAUGGGCGGAAGCCUGAUGCAGCAACGCCGCGUGCGGGAUGACGGCUUUCGGGUUGUAAACCGCUUUCGCCUGUGACGAAGCGUGAGUGACGGUAAUGGGUAAAGAAGCACCGGCUAACUACGUG
RNAcentral lists this ribosomal RNA (467 nucleotides) under uncultured bacterium. RNAcentral's name for it is "partial 16S ribosomal RNA". It matches the Rfam family "Bacterial small subunit ribosomal RNA", at positions 29 to 507 of the family's 1533-position model. The record is from RNAcentral.